This 76-nucleotide transfer RNA is filed under the name Clostridia bacterium. Its description in RNAcentral is "tRNA-Thr". It matches the Rfam family "tRNA". Rfam says of the family: Transfer RNA (tRNA) molecules are approximately 80 nucleotides in length. Their secondary structure includes four short double-helical elements and three loops (D, anti-codon, and T loops). The record is from RNAcentral. Lineage: Bacteria; Bacillati; Bacillota; Clostridia.
GCCAGCAUAGCUCAAUUGGUAGAGCAACUGACUUGUAAUCAGUAGGUUGCGGGUUCGAGUCCCAUUGCUGGCUCCA